This 404-nucleotide ribosomal RNA is filed under the name Fusobacteriota bacterium. RNAcentral's name for it is "Fusobacteria bacterium partial 16S ribosomal RNA". It matches the Rfam family "Bacterial small subunit ribosomal RNA", at positions 355 to 776 of the family's 1533-position model. The record is from RNAcentral. Lineage: Bacteria; Fusobacteriati; Fusobacteriota.
UGGGGAAUAUUGCACAAUGGAGGGAACUCUGAUGCAGCGACGCCGCGUGAGUGAUGAAGGACUUCGUUUCGUAAAACUCUGUUCUAUGGGAAGAAAAGGACUGUACCAUAGGAGAAAGCUCCGGCUAAAUACGUGCCAGCAGCCGCGGUAAUACGUAUGGAGCGAGCGUUGUCCGGAAUUAUUGGGCGUAAAGGGUGCGCAGGCGGCUUUACAAGUUGGAUGUGAAAUAUUGUGGCUCAACCACAAACGUGCAUCCAAAACUGCAAAGCUUGAGUUAAGGAGAGGUAAGUGGAAUUCCUGGUGUAGCGGUGGAAUGCGUAGGUAUCAGGAGGAAUACCGGUGGCGAAGGCGACUUACUGGACUUAAACUGACGCUCAGGCACGAAAGCGUGGGGAGCAAACAGG